AUAAAUAAAUUGUAAAUAAAAAAUAAUAUUAAUUAAAAUCAAAUUACAUUUUAAAAGGUCACUAACUAAAGUACAUGAACUUACAAAUAAAUUGUAAAUAAAAAAGAAAGGAAGGAGUUAAAUGAAAUUUAACAUUUCAAAAGACAAAAUUGGUGGUAUCUUGCAACUUUUGCAAGGUAGCUAGAUCCCACAUUUUAAGUUCACUAAGAAGCUUCACUAUUUUGGUUUUUAAAUAAGAAAAAAGUUAUAAACGAAAAAGAAAAAAAGGAAAGCAAAAAAUUACAAGCUAAGUAACCAAAUGAUGCUUGGAUAACUUCCAAGUAAAUUUGAAAAGAUUAUUUCGAAUAGAAGCAAUCGAACAAUCCCACAAGAUAGUCUUAAGUUCACUACAGCAGUUGUAGUUUGAAAGAUAUAGCACCUCAAUUCCUAACAAGACUUAUAUUUUCUCUUAUUAAAUACGAUAACGCUUAAAAGCAACCAUUUAAUAAAUGAUAAAUCAUGUAUUAUAAAUUGACCGGCGUGAAUAGUAAAUUUGUUUAUGAGACAUAAGAGCCGCAAAACAAUUACUCUGAGACAGUAUUCACCCUCAUCAAUCAUUUCAAAAACCAAGGUUUGAUUAGAUUAAAAGAAUAAUAAAAGAGUAUUUAAGUGCCAAUAUUUAUUUAGGGCCAGAUUGAUAAUGUUUUAUGUUUCAAAAUAAUUGAUAUUAGUUGUACUGUGUAAAUAAUUAGCUGUGAAGAUAAUCAGUU
This 749-nucleotide long non-coding RNA is filed under the name Citrus x clementina. Its description in RNAcentral is "Citrus clementina (C. clementina) long non-coding RNA (CCLE_LNC001523)". Lineage: Eukaryota; Viridiplantae; Streptophyta; Magnoliopsida; Sapindales; Rutaceae. The record is from RNAcentral.